CAGGCUUAACACAUGCAAGUCGAGGGGCAUCAGGAAGAAAGCUUGCUUUCUUUGCUGGCGACCGGCGCACGGGUGAGUAACACGUAUCCAACCUGCCCUUUACUCGGGGAUAGCCUUUCGAAAGAAAGAUUAAUACCCGAUAGCAUAAUGAUUCCGCAUGGUUUCAUUAUUAAAGGAUUCCGGUAAAGGAUGGGGAUGCGUUCCAUUAGGUUGUUGGUGAGGUAACGGCCCACCAAGCCUUCGAUGGAUAGGGGUUCUGAGAGGAAGGUCCCCCACAUUGGAACUGAGACACGGUCCAAACUCCUACGGGAGGCAGCAGUGAGGAAUAUUGGUCAAUGGGCGCUAGCCUGAACCAGCCAAGUAGCGUGAAGGAUGAAGGCUCUAUGGGUCGUAAACUUCUUUUAUAUAAGAAUAAAGUGCAGUAUGUAUACUGUUUUGUAUGUAUUAUAUGAAUAAGGAUCGGCUAACUCCGUGCCAGCAGCCGCGGUAAUACGGAGGAUCCGAGCGUUAUCCGGAUUUAUUGGGUUUAAAGGGAGCGUAGGUGGACUGGUAAGUCAGUUGUGAAAGUUUGCGGCUCAACCGUAAAAUUGCAGUUGAUACUGUCAGUCUUGAGUACAGUAGAGGUGGGCGGAAUUCGUGGUGUAGCGGUGAAAUGCUUAGAUAUCACGAAGAACUCCGAUUGCGAAGGCAGCUCACUGGACUGCAACUGACACUGAUGCUCGAAAGUGUGGGUAUCAAACAGGAUUAGAUACCCUGGUAGUCCACACAGUAAACGAUGAAUACUCGCUGUUUGCGAUAUACAGUAAGCGGCCAAGCGAAAGCAUUAAGUAUUCCACCUGGGGAGUACGCCGGCAACGGUGAAACUCAAAGGAAUUGACGGGGGCCCGCACAAGCGGAGGAACAUGUGGUUUAAUUCGAUGAUACGCGAGGAACCUUACCCGGGCUUAAAUUGCAGUGGAAUGAUGUGGAAACAUGUCAGUGAGCAAUCACCGCUGUGAAGGUGCUGCAUGGUUGUCGUCAGCUCGUGCCGUGAGGUGUCGGCUUAAGUGCCAUAACGAGCGCAACCCUUAUCUUUAGUUACUAACAGGUUAUGCUGAGGACUCUAGAGAGACUGCCGUCGUAAGAUGUGAGGAAGGUGGGGAUGACGUCAAAUCAGCACGGCCCUUACGUCCGGGGCUACACACGUGUUACAAUGGGGGGUACAGAAGGCAGCUAGCGGGUGACCGUAUGCUAAUCCCAAAAUCCUCUCUCAGUUCGGAUCGAAGUCUGCAACCCGACUUCGUGAAGCUGGAUUCGCUAGUAAUCGCGCAUCAGCCACGGCGCGGUGAAUACGUUCCCGGGCCUUGUACACACCGCCCGUCAAGCCAUGGGAGCCGGGGGUACCUGAAGUACGUAACCGCAAGGAUCGUCCUAGGGUAAAACUGGUGACUGGGGCUAAGUCAUA
RNAcentral lists this ribosomal RNA (1444 nucleotides) under uncultured organism. RNAcentral's name for it is "SSU rRNA". It matches the Rfam family "Bacterial small subunit ribosomal RNA". The record is from RNAcentral.